RNAcentral lists this ribosomal RNA (504 nucleotides) under Nesophrosyne broussaisiai. RNAcentral describes it as "partial 16S ribosomal RNA". Lineage: Eukaryota; Metazoa; Arthropoda; Insecta; Hemiptera; Cicadellidae. The record is from RNAcentral.
UAAGAAUUUAAAAGUCGAACAGACUUAUUAUUAAGAAUACUACCCCUUAAAAUUUUCUUAAUUCAACAUCGAGGUCGCAAAAUAUAAUAUAGAUAUGAACUCCCCAUUAAAAUCACGCUGUUAUCCCUAAGGUAACUUAAUCUUGAUGUCCUCUUCUAUUGGGAUCUAAAAUUACAUAAAUAAAUGAGUUCCAAAACUAAAGUUAACUAUUUAAUUACCACCCCAGCAAAAUAUAAAGUGAAUAUCUAAAAGUAUAUAAAAUAAAACUUAAUAAUAUAAAAUCAUAUAAAGUUCUAUAGGGUCUUAUCGUCCCAAUAAAUUGUUAAAGCAUUUUAACUUUAAAUUUAAAUUUUAAUAUUUAAAGAAAUAAAAUAUAAUUCUCAUAAAUCCAUUCAUACAAGCUUUCAAUUAAAAAACUAAUUACUAUGCUACCUUUGCACAGUCAAAAUACUGCAGCCAUUUAGAAGUUUAACCAUAGGGCAGGAGAUACUUUUUAUAAAACCA